CUGCUAACGUGGGGGUCCUGCGUUACACAUCGCGGCUUUAGUCAGGUUUUGCGGCUGAAACGCUUCGUGCGGCGUGGGUGAGAAAUACCCUUUGAACCUGAUCUGGAUAAUGCCAGCGCAGGGAAGCGUUCGGGUUCCAGGC
RNAcentral lists this non-coding RNA (142 nucleotides) under unidentified. RNAcentral describes it as "Candidatus Burkholderia TPP sequence". It matches the Rfam family "TPP riboswitch aptamer (THI element)". From Rfam's summary of the family: Vitamin B(1) in its active form thiamin pyrophosphate (TPP) is an essential coenzyme that is synthesised by coupling of pyrimidine and thiazole moieties in bacteria. The previously detected thiamin-regulatory element, thi box was extended, resulting in a new, highly conserved RNA secondary structure, the THI element, which is widely distributed in eubacteria and also occurs in some archaea. Analysis of operon structures identified a large number of new candidate thiamin-regulated genes, mostly transporters, in various prokaryotic organisms. The record is from RNAcentral.